GUUGCAUUGGACGAGGGUAAUCUUCGUGAAGCUGGCGUUUGAGCUUUGCGGGUGACGCCUGUUUGGGUGAUUGCUGCUGCUGCUUGUAUGCGAUCUAUUAAAGUAAGGGUUGCUGGAUAGAUGAUGUGGUUCGCAUUAUCUGGUGUUUGAACCGUCCUGUGAGCGUGCCUGCUUUUGUGCUCCCGGCUCUGCAUGGCUUAUAGCAGGGACUACAGCAUGAUUUGCAAUUUCAACACUGCUGUUUUGCUUUUACAUGAUAUUUAAUUAAUCUGUUUUGCCUUAAUAUUGCAUUCACUAUUAUGUUUGGUAUUCAUUAAUUUUUGUUUUGCUUGAAUUUAUGUUUUGCAUGUAAGUCUUGUGUUUGCAGUCAGUUGAUUUAGUUGCUUUGUAUUCAUUACUUCGUUUUGCUUUAAUGUAUGUUUUGUAUUUAAGUCUUACAUUUGUUUGGUUUGCAUUCAUUAUUUUUGGAUUUGCAUUUAAGUUUGUUGCAUUAUUACUGUUUGUUUUGCAGUCGAGCAUUCUGUUUGGUAUUUAAUAAUUUAAUAAUAUGUGGUUUUGUGCAUGUGUGGGUAUUCAGUAGUACGGGCCUUAUUGAAUCCCGGCGUAUUCUUGUCUUUUUUGUUGUUGUUGUUGUUUUGUAUGUAUUUCAUGGCAGCUUGUUGCACUUGUUGUGUAUAAUCUUAAUUUGUAUUAAUUAAAUUUUAUUUCAAGGUAUUCAUGUCUCUGGG
Molecule: long non-coding RNA, 728 nt
Organism: Ctenopharyngodon idella (grass carp)
Lineage: Eukaryota; Metazoa; Chordata; Actinopteri; Cypriniformes; Xenocyprididae
Exons: 3
Source: RefSeq, a predicted model, not a curated record